This 498-nucleotide ribosomal RNA is filed under the name Spironucleus salmonis. Its description in RNAcentral is "partial small subunit ribosomal RNA". It matches the Rfam family "Eukaryotic small subunit ribosomal RNA", at positions 400 to 1054 of the family's 1831-position model. The record is from RNAcentral. Lineage: Eukaryota; Fornicata; Diplomonadida; Hexamitidae.
GAGACGGCUCAUAGUUCUAAGGAAGGCAGCAGGCGCGGAAAUUGCCCAAUGUACCGUUGUGUACGAGGCCGUGACGAGGCGUCGUGAGUCACUUAGGUGACAUUACGAUGAGUGAGGUGUACAGACCCUCGCAAAUGCAAGUCGUGGGAAAGCAUGGUGCCAGCAGCCGCGGUAAUUCCAUCAUGACUAACUCAUUCUUACGGUGCUGCAGUUAAAGCGUCCGUAGCUGGCGGCCUGCCGACUCGAGGAACUCUCGACGCCCAACGUAGCGAGCGCGGUGAGCUGCAGCGAGUUACGGCAACAACAACUAUCGCUAUAGGACAGGGGAAGGCUCCUUCUAUUAUAGGGGGACAGGUGAAAUAGGAUGAUGCCUAUAGGAGGAACAAGUGCGCAGGCACUGAGUCGUCCCCGGUUCGUCGGUCAAAGGCGUUAUCGUGGGGCUAGACGAUGAUUAGAGACCGUUUUACUCCACGUCGUAAACGAUGCUACCUCGCUGUG